RNAcentral lists this ribosomal RNA (427 nucleotides) under uncultured Moraxellaceae bacterium. RNAcentral describes it as "bacterial SSU rRNA". It matches the Rfam family "Bacterial small subunit ribosomal RNA", at positions 355 to 774 of the family's 1533-position model. The record is from RNAcentral. Lineage: Bacteria; Pseudomonadati; Pseudomonadota; Gammaproteobacteria; Moraxellales; Moraxellaceae.
UGGGGAAUAUUGGACAAUGGGGGGAACCCUGAUCCAGCCAUGCCGCGUGUGUGAAGAAGGCCUUAUGGUUGUAAAGCACUUUAAGCAGUGAAGAAGAGGCUAUAGCUAAUACCUAUAGAAGAUGACAUUAGCUGCAGAAUAAGCACCGGCUAACUCUGUGCCAGCAGCCGCGGUAAUACAGAGGGUGCAAGCGUUAAUCGGAAUUACUGGGCGUAAAGCGAGCGUAGGUGGCUAAAUAAGUCAGAUGUGAAAUCCCCGGGCUUAACCUGGGAACUGCAUCUGAAACUGUAUAGCUAGAGUAGGUGAGAGGGAGGUAGAAUUUCAGGUGUAGCGGUGAAAUGCGUAGAGAUCUGAAGGAAUACCGAUGGCGAAGGCAGCCUCCUGGCAUCAUACUGACACUGAGGUUCGAAAGCGUGGGUAGCAAACA